This 59-nucleotide microRNA precursor is filed under the name Panagrellus redivivus. RNAcentral's name for it is "microRNA prd-mir-7867 precursor". The record is from miRBase by way of RNAcentral. Lineage: Eukaryota; Metazoa; Nematoda; Chromadorea; Rhabditida; Panagrolaimidae.
AACCCGUAAAACUAUAAGUUCUUGUGUCGUAAAUCAGGAACUUAGCUUUUGCGAGUCAC